RNAcentral lists this long non-coding RNA (229 nucleotides) under Gossypium barbadense (sea-island cotton). RNAcentral describes it as "long non-coding RNA (GBAR_LNC003513)". Lineage: Eukaryota; Viridiplantae; Streptophyta; Magnoliopsida; Malvales; Malvaceae. The record is from RNAcentral.
UCGGAUAUAGUUGGCAUGCCAUAGGAUUGGAAGUGUUCAGGGAUUCUUCGACCUCGAGUCGAUGAGACACUGGGUGUCACUAUAUUUCUUCGGAUAGAUUCGAUGAGGUACUGGGUACCAACUUUACUUCGGCUAGGCCGAUGAGACACUAGGUGUCAAAUAUUGCUUCGAACUAUCCAAUGAGGCACUGGGUGCCAUAUUGGUGUGUUUGGUUGGAUCCGUGUAUCCG